AUAGUUACGGAUAGCUUUUAGAUC
RNAcentral lists this non-coding RNA (24 nucleotides) under Arabidopsis thaliana (thale cress). Lineage: Eukaryota; Viridiplantae; Streptophyta; Magnoliopsida; Brassicales; Brassicaceae. The record is from RNAcentral.